GUAAAUGUUCCCUCCAGCGCAUUAGGCAGUCCCAACGUCUUCAAGGCAAGGUGAGCUGCCUUCUGCCCUGAUAUCAUCAUGGCUCCAAAUGUUGGUCCCUGCAUCACCAAUACAAAACACAAAUUCAUCAGUCCUUGCCCCCCUAUAGUAUUCAAUUUAACCAAUAUCACCAUUAAAGAGGGAAAUUAAGGUUACCAUUCUCGGUGCGCCAUCAAUCUCCGCAACCUCCAUGCCAGUAACAAUCAUUCCAGGCACAAUCUCCCUUGUAAGCCUCACAAUGGCAUCUUCAGCAGUGUUCAUAUCCAGAGCUUUCAUCCCUGGGACAUUUUCAAUCAUGCCAAUGCUCUUUAGCCUUUUGACUCCAGUGGCACCAAAGGGUCCAUCAUGGCCACAAGAGCUCACGACCACCUUGGCCUCCAUCACAUUGGGGUCCAUGCAAGACUGUGUGUCAUGGUUCAUCGAAACAAGAGCCCAGUUGGUGACAACCCCACCCACUCUUCCAUUCUUCACUAUCAGGUCCUCAGCAGCCACAGCGUUGAAAAGCUUAACAUUGGGGCGGGCUAGGAGCUUGCUCAUGAUUGUGGAUGUGAACAGGGCAGCGUGCUUGAUUACUACAUAGUUGUCUGCUUCAUCGUAAUCAAUGCCUAGCUCAUCCAGGAAGAGAUGAGCAGGUUUGCGAACCACCUGGCAACGACAUAUACACCAUACAUUAAGUAGAAUUUCAAUAACAUCGUAUGCAGAAGCGAAAAUUGGCGUACAAGGGAUUUUUUUUUUCUUUUUAAUAAACAUUUACUUAAUAAAAAGAGAGAAAAAAAGGGCAUUACCAUGGCAGAG
Molecule: long non-coding RNA, 834 nt
Filed under: Manihot esculenta (cassava)
Lineage: Eukaryota; Viridiplantae; Streptophyta; Magnoliopsida; Malpighiales; Euphorbiaceae
Description: long non-coding RNA (MESC_LNC008900)
Source: RNAcentral